RNAcentral lists this long non-coding RNA (369 nucleotides) under Citrus maxima (pomelo). RNAcentral describes it as "long non-coding RNA (CMAX_LNC004004)". Lineage: Eukaryota; Viridiplantae; Streptophyta; Magnoliopsida; Sapindales; Rutaceae. The record is from RNAcentral.
ACUAAAUACUUGGACAACAAACCUUCUAAAACAAUAAAAUAGAAUAGAAUAAAACAAAUGGAGCCUAAAAGGAGUAGCUGGCAAGGCAGUUGUAAUGGCUAUUCUUUGAAGGUAAUAUCUGAGUUGCGUUGUUUGAUGGGAAGGAGGCGAAAACUGAAAGCAACAAGCAGAAGUGGACGACAAAAGCCGCUUUUAUGUUGGCCGGGCAAUAGUAUCAUUGUUGUACAAAAAGUGCUUCUUUAUCAAUUAUAAUGCUUUCUCAAUUGCUUCCUGUUGAAGGUUUCUGAAAUUGCUUGUAUAAAAAUAAUGGCCAUGAGUGUUGUCCUAUAAACUAUCAAAUGAUUCCCUGCCAAAUGUCAUGUCUUUUCC